AUACAGAGGGUGCGAGCGUUAAUCGGAAUUACUGGGCGUAAAGCGCGCGUAGGCGGCUUAUUAAGUCAGAUGUGAAAUCCCCGGGCUCAACCUGGGAACUGCAUCUGAUACUGGUAAGCUAGAGUUUGGGAGAGGGAAGUAGAAUUUCAGGUGUAGCGGUGAAAUGCAUAGAGAUCUGAAGGAAUACCAGUGGCGAAGGCGACUUCCUGGCCUAAAACUGACGCUGAGGUGCGAAAGCGUGGGUAGCAAACGGCAUUAGAUACCCCAGUAGUCC
This 274-nucleotide ribosomal RNA is filed under the name uncultured bacterium. Its description in RNAcentral is "partial 16S ribosomal RNA". It matches the Rfam family "Bacterial small subunit ribosomal RNA", at positions 523 to 796 of the family's 1533-position model. The record is from RNAcentral.